This 383-nucleotide ribosomal RNA is filed under the name uncultured bacterium. RNAcentral describes it as "bacterial SSU rRNA". It matches the Rfam family "Bacterial small subunit ribosomal RNA", at positions 335 to 706 of the family's 1533-position model. The record is from RNAcentral.
ACUCCUACGGGAGGCAGCAGUGGGGAAUAUUGCACAAUGGGCGCAAGCCUGAUGCAGCCAUGCCGCGUGUGUGAAGAAGACCUUCGGGUUGAUAAAGCACUUUCAGUCGUGAGGAAGGUAGUGUAGUUAAUAGCUUGCUAUUAUUUUGACGUUAGCGACAGAAGAAGCACCGGCUAACUCCGUGCCAGCAGCCGCGGUAAUACGGAGGGUGCGAGCGUUAAUCGGAAUUACUGGGCGUAAAGCGCAUGCAGGUGGUUUGUUAAGUCAGAUGUGAAAGCCCGGGGCUCAACCUCGGAAUUGCAUUUGAAACUGGCAGACUAGAGUACUGUAGAGGGGGGUAGAAUUUCAGGUGUAGCGGUGAAAUGCGUAGAGAUCUGAAGGAA